GACGAACGCUGGCGGCGUGCUUAACACAUGCAAGUCGAACGGAAAGGCCCUGCUUUUGUGGGGUGCUCGAGUGGCGAACGGGUGAGUAACACGUGAGUAACCUGCCCUUGACUUUGGGAUAACUUCAGGAAACUGGGGCUAAUACCGGAUAGGAGCUCCUGCUGCAUGGUGGGGGUUGGAAAGUUUCGGCGGUUGGGGAUGGACUCGCGGCUUAUCAGCUUGUUGGUGGGGUAGUGGCUUACCAAGGCUUUGACGGGUAGCCGGCCUGAGAGGGUGACCGGCCACAUUGGGACUGAGAUACGGCACAGACUCCUACGGGAGGCAGCAGUGGGGAAUAGUGCACAAUGGGCGGAAGCCUGAUGCAGCAACGCCGCGUGCGGGAUGACGGCCUUCGGGUUGUAAACCGCUUUCGCCUGUGACGAAGCGUGAGUGACGGUAAUGGGUAAAGAAGCACCGGCUAACUACGU
This 467-nucleotide ribosomal RNA is filed under the name uncultured bacterium. Its description in RNAcentral is "partial 16S ribosomal RNA". It matches the Rfam family "Bacterial small subunit ribosomal RNA", at positions 28 to 506 of the family's 1533-position model. The record is from RNAcentral.